CCACACCAGACCAGAUCAUCCGCCCUGCGCCGCCGCGGCCCGGGCCCACCCCGCAGCGACCGCCCUCCCUCCCCACGAGUCCGCGCAGAUCCGCGAUUGGUCGACGUCCCACUCCUCCCUCCCCUUCCCUUCCUCCUCCUCGAGCCCUCCCCCUGCGUCGACAAUUCCCCGUCCCCCGUCCCCCGCCAAUCCCAAAUCCCCAAUCCCCCGCGCCGCCGCCCCGCUCGCCGUCGUACGGAUUCCGCCCCGGCCGGCCCCCAAUCGCCGUUUGCCGUGGAGGCGGGGUCCCCUCGCGGCGUCGGCAGCCCGCCCCGCGAUUCUAGGGUUUCGGGCGGGGUUGCCCCAAUUCGCCGGCCCGGCCCCGUGCCUCGUUCCCGCGGGUGCUUCCGUCCGCCCCGCGCGGGUCCUGAUCGCUCGCGCUCGCGCUCGCGCCUGCUGCUCGCUGCCGCUCUGUCCACUGCUGCCUGAUUCAGAGAGGGCUGUCUUGUCUGGUUAAAUUCUCGCUGACCGACCCUCCAGCAGGAAGAAAUAUUGCAGCUUUCGAAGGGUUUCCGGCGCGUGGUGCCCGCCUCGGUAGGGGCUGCCGCUUCUUUCAGCUUGCUCCGCGCCACGCCGCACCUGGAAUGACGUCGCCCGCGCUUGUCUGAGGCGCGGCUGCCAGCGACAAUGAAUGUGGGGCAGGCGGCGCACCUGUCCGGGCAGAUGUCCGGGCAGGGGGCGCAGAUGAAUCAGGUUGUUGGCGGUGGCAGCGGUGUCGUCGGCGCUGACGGCAUGCCCCUGCCCCAGCACCAGCAGAUGCAGGAUGGCGUGGGCCUUGUUGCCCCGGGGGUCGAUCAACAGUUUGCGCUCAUGCGCUCCAAUAUGCGCGACAAGAUAUAUGAGUAUAUAGGAAGGAAGCAGACAUCUGCUGACUGGAGGCGGAGGCUGCCGGAACUCGCAAAGCGGCUAGAGGAAAUCUUGUUUAGAAAAUUCCCAAGCAGGAAUGAGUACUACAAUAUGAUGAGGCAACCAGUGGAGCCACAAUUGCAGUUUGCUAUCAAGGCCUUGAGUGCUCAGAACCAACUAAAUCAACAAAACCAACAAAUGUCAAGGCAGAUGGCAUCUUCCUCUGGUUAUAGCACAAUGAUUCCAACACCUGGUAUCACACAAGGUGCAAGUGGAAAUUCUAGAAUGUCUUAUGGAACAGACAAUAUGGGUCUUUCGUCAUCUGGUGCAGGCAUGGUUCCUCAGAAUGCCAACAUGGGUACCUCGAUGCCUGGUACAAUGUCUAAUGGCUACCAGCAUCUAACUACCAGUGCCCCACUAAAUUCGACCACAAGUAGUGUCCCAUCUACGAUGGGUCCAGUGGGUAUUCAGCGACAAGUAACUCAUAUGAUCCCAACUCCUGGAUUCAGUAAUCAACAAAAUGUACCUACUAAUUCUGACUAUUCAAAUGGAACUGGAUAUUUCAAUGGUGAGUCAGCUAUGACACCACAUAUGCAGCAGCAGAAGCAAUUUCAAAGCAACCAGAGCAGCCAUCAAAUACAUCAUAUUGGGGGGCACAGUAAUUCUGGAAUACAUUCAAGCAUGCUGGAGAAUUCUUCUGCAUUUGGUUUAUCAGAUGGACAUGUGAAUGGUGGAAUGGGAUUGCAUGGGUCAAACACGCAAAUUACAAAUAGAAAUGCAGCACCAGAAGGAUAUAUGAACAUAUCCUCUUUUGGAAGUUCGCCCAGACCUUUGCAGCAACAGUUCAAUCAGCAUCCAACACAGAGAAUAUCAACAUCAGUUGACAUGGGUGGCUCAGGAAGUUUCUACGGUACUGGUUCUUCUGCUUUAGCAACAGCAAAUAAUCAGAACAUGGGUGCUGCAAACUUGCAGUCUAGAUCAAGAAUGAAUUCCAUGCUGCUUAGCAAUCAGCUAAACAUGCAAUCCAUUCAAGGGCAGCCACAGAUAAAAACUGAGGUUUUGGAUCAGUCAGAAAAACUCAAUUUCCAGCCAUCUCAGUUGUCUCAUGAACAACUACUCCGACAGCAGCUUUCAAUGCAGCAACAUCAGGCUAUGCUGAGGAGCAAUUCCUUUAAACAGUCUCAACUGAAUUCCAGCCAUUCUAUGCAAGUGUCAGAACAGGGAACUUUGCCACACACCGAACUAACAUCUUCACAAGCUACUGAACCUCCUGCACUUCCAAAUUUCCAGGGUCAAUACCAGCAAAGAAGUGCUCACGAUAACGUCAAAGGUGCGCAGGUGUUUGGACAUCUUUCUGGAUCUCAAAAUUUCAGUGCUUCUGGUUCUCACGAUUCUCAGCCAUUGUUGCACCCUAAUCAGCAGCUUGAUGUUAGCUCGAAUGAUGUCAGUUAUGUUUUGAAAGGAACACAGACAGAGCAAAUGCAGCAGCACCAAUGGCGGCCUCAAACAAUGGAAAAGGUUCCUAUCAGUAGCAAUUUAUCUCUUGAAAAGCAAAUACAGGAUGACUUUUGUCAGAGAACAAUGGCCCAGGACGGAGCACAACAGCCAUUUUCAUCUGACUGGCGUGUUUCUGGUUGCACUGUGACCUCAGUUGACCCUGCACUGCCAAAGCUCCCUGCUGGAGGAUUGGAACAGCCCACUGGAAAUAUCAAUUACCUCCGUCAGAUGAGGUGGUUACUGUUGCUGUUUCAUGCAAAAGGAUGUUCUUCUCCUCUUGGUAGUUGUAAAUUACCUCGUUGUGUUCAGCUGCAGGAUUUUGUGAAGCAUUUGGACAACUGCCAAAGAAAAGAUUGUCCACAGAAGAAGUGCAGUAAGUCAAGAAUGUUAAUUGAGCAUUAUAAGACUUGUGUUGAUGAGCAGUGUCCUGUAUGUAGUAAUGUAAAGAAAUUUUUGCGCCUCUCAGCUGAACAUGCAAGUAAGCAAAAAGUCCCUGAGCCUAGAAAAGUUGCUCAACAGAAUAUGACUCAAAGAAUCAUGAAUGGGGUAGACAGUGAUAUAAUGGACAUUGACCCAGUGUCUGUUGAAUCCUUUGAUGGUCAGCCAUCUGUUCCAAAACGUUUGAAGAUGCAGCCUGCGUCACCCAAUGUUCCAGAGCAUGAAAUACUUAGAGCCUCCAAUCCUCAGGUGAACCCAGGGUUUGUACUACAGGAAUCACAUCCCGAGCUGCUUGAGCAGAAUAAAAAGACGGCAUACAUGAAAAGAGAGUUGGACGUAAAGGCUGACAUGCGACCUCUGCAGAAGCCCGUAAAGAUGGGUUAUGGUGCUGAUGGAAGUGUGCCUACAGCGAGGCACAAUGUCAUUCCUACUGUUUCAAAUGAGAUGAAGUCUCAUGUCAAGCAAGAAAUCUUGCCGGUUGACAAAGGGACAAGUGAAAAUGUUCAUGAGGUUAAGAAUGAAACAAAUGAUUCAACAGAGGCCACAGCAUUGAAAUCAGGAAAACCAAAAAUAAAAGGUGUUUCAUUGACUGAGUUGUUCACUCCAGAACAAAUCAAUGCACAUAUAGAGAGUCUAAGGCUGUGGGUGGGCCAGAGCAAGGCUAAAGCUGAAAAGAAUCAACUGCUGGUGUCUUCCGAAAAUGAAAAUUCAUGCCAGCUCUGCAAAGUGGAAAAACUCACUUUUGAACCUCCACCCAUAUAUUGCUCCCCUUGUGGUGCUCGGAUAAAGCGAAAUGCACCAUACUAUACUGUUGGUUCUGGUGACACCCGCCACUUUUUCUGUAUUCCAUGUUACAAUGAGUCCCGUGGUGACACCAUUGAGGUUGAAGGACAGAAUUUUUUGAAGGCCCGGUUUGAGAAGAAAAGAAAUGAUGAGGAAACUGAAGAAUGGUGGGUUCAGUGUGACAAAUGUGAAUGCUGGCAGCAUCAGAUAUGUGCUCUGUUUAAUGGCAGAAGAAAUGAUGGAGGACAAGCAGAGUAUACUUGCCCGAAUUGCUAUAGUAAUGAAGUGAAGUGUGGGCUGCGCAUGCCUCUACCACAGAGUGCUGUUCUUGGAGCAAGUGAUCUGCCAAGAACUGUUCUUAGCGAUCAUAUAGAAGAGCGGCUUUUUAAACGGCUUAAGUGGGAGAGACAGAAUCGGGCGAAUAAUUUAAAUUGUAGUGUUGAUGAGGUCGCCGGAGCAGAAGGUCUUGUGGUCAGAGUUGUUUCAUCGGUGGAUAAGAAGGUUGAAGUUAAACCACGCUUUUUGGAAAUUUUUCAAGAAGAUAAUUACCCGACAGAGUUCCCUUACAAGUCCAAGGCUGUUCUUUUGUUCCAGAAAAUAGAAGGCGUAGAAGUGUGCUUAUUUGGAAUGUAUGUUCAAGAAUUUGGUGCUGACUGCGCUUACCCGAACCAACGUCGAGUUUAUUUGUCAUACCUGGAUUCUGUGAAAUACUUCAGACCUGAGAUUAAAGCAGCCACUGGAGAGGCCUUGCGUACAUUCGUCUACCAUGAAAUUCUGAUAGGAUAUCUUGAAUACUGCAAGCAGCGUGGAUUCACAAGCUGUUAUAUAUGGGCUUGCCCACCUUUGAAAGGUGAAGAUUACAUUUUAUAUUGCCACCCUGAGAUUCAGAAGACUCCAAAAUCUGACAAACUGCGGGAGUGGUACUUAGCCAUGCUUCGGAAAGCUACUAAGGAGGAGAUUGUUGUUGAGCUUACAAAUCUGUAUGACCAUUUCUUCAUUACCAUGGGAGAGUGCAAGGCUAAAGUUACCGCUUCCCGUUUGCCUUACUUCGAUGGAGAUUAUUGGCCUGGAGCUGCGGAAGAUAUGAUUAAUCAACUGCGUCAAGAAGAAGAUGACCGAAAGCUUCAGAAGAAGAGUAAGACAAAGAAAAUUAUUACAAAAAGAGCUCUUAAAGCUGCUGGCCACACUGAUCUCAGUGGAAAUGCUUCUAAGGACGCUAUGCUGAUGCAGAAGCUUGGGGAAACCAUUUAUCCAAUGAAGGAAGAUUUUAUUAUGGUCCAUUUGCAGUAUUCUUGUAGCCACUGUUGUCUCCUUAUGUCGUCUGGAAAACGCUGGGUCUGCCAUCAAUGCAGAAGUUUUUACAUCUGUGACAAGUGUUACAGUGCAGAACAACAGCUUGAAGAUAGGGAGAGGCAUCCAAGUAAUAGUAGAGACACACAUAAGCUCCAUCCAGUUGACAUUGUUGGGGUGCCUGAAGAGACAAAGGAUAGAGACGAUAUUCUGGAAAGUGAGUUUUUUGACACCAGGCAGGCAUUUCUCAGUCUUUGUCAAGGGAACCAUUACCAAUAUGACACCCUUCGCCGUGCUAAGCAUUCGUCAAUGAUGGUGUUGUAUCACCUACAUAAUCCCACUGCACCAGCGUUUGUCACUACAUGCAAUGUCUGUAGCCAUGAUAUUGAAACUGGUCAAGGCUGGCGGUGUGAAAUUUGUCCAGAUUUUGACGUGUGCAAUGGUUGUUACCAAAAAGGAGCAGUCAAUCAUCCUCACAAGUUGACAAACCAUCCAUCAGUUGCCGACCGUGAUGCCCAAAACAAGGAAGCCCGGCAAAUGCGUGUUCAACAGCUAAGGAAAAUGCUCGAUCUUCUGGUACAUGCCUCUACAUGCCGCUCUGGCAGCUGCCAAUAUCCUAACUGCCGUAAAGUCAAGGGACUAUUUCGGCAUGGGAUGCAGUGCAAGACACGUGCUUCAGGAGGGUGUGCCCUGUGCAAGAAAAUGUGGUACAUGCUUCAGCUCCAUGCCCGAGCUUGCAGAGAUUCAGGAUGCAGUGUACCGCGGUGCAGGGAUCUCAAAGAGCAUCUUAGAAGGCUGCAACAGCAGUCUGAUUCCCGGAGGAGGGCUGCUGUUAAUGAGAUGAUGAGACAGAGAGCAGCAGAGGUUGCUACAACAUGAUUAGUUGCAUCUGUACAGGUAUACCGUCGUCGAAAGAAGAUUAGGAAAGUGCGCAGGGUCUCAGUCCUCUCAUCCCCCACACCAAGUCGAAACUUGGGGUCGUUGAAUUAGAGGAUCCAGGUCGACCGAUUGUCCUGGAAGAUGGAAGAAGACGCUGGCCAUUCUUCGCCGACGAUUAACAUAGGGGCUUGAAAGCCUGCCAUUCUCCGAAGGAAGGGUGAAGGGCGCAGUGCACCACAGUAGGUGGUAACUGUUUGCGCCCUGCUGACUGUGCCGCUGAUGUUGUCGAUAGGAACCGGCCUGGCCCCUUGGGUGUGGUGAUUCUUUCGUUUGACCUGUACUAGUUGGACUAAUCUUGUUUUUGCUGCUUGCCUGCUCCGUCGUCGACGUUCAUGUAUAAUAGGUCUCUGGAUCCUCUAUUGUUGAAAAACAAUGGUUGUAGCUGCUGCUGUUUUGUUCCCUCUGUUCCGGUUUCUUGUCACCUCGGUCAGGAGGGGUAUAGUAGGGAGAAAGAAGGUAGAGGGAUGGGCACUGGACAUGGUUCUGUUUAUUUAUGUCCCCCUCCCAUUUUGUAGGACAAGUCUUUAUUUUGAAAGUAUAAAGGAAAGUAAAUCCUGCGUCUUUCUUUGCCCCUCCUUUCUUGCAAGGUAAUGCAUGAUCUUGAUUUGUCCAGUCAGAUCAUCACACUGGAAAUUUUGAAUGUGGGGAUUAUUGUGCCAUGACGAAAAUUAGAGCUGUGCAGAAAUCUGUACGGCCAUUUGUCUGAAAUUUUGCCAUCCCAAGCAUC
Molecule: ribosomal RNA, 6559 nt
Filed under: Triticum aestivum (bread wheat)
Lineage: Eukaryota; Viridiplantae; Streptophyta; Magnoliopsida; Poales; Poaceae
Description: partial small subunit ribosomal RNA
Source: RNAcentral